This 270-nucleotide ribosomal RNA is filed under the name uncultured archaeon. RNAcentral's name for it is "partial 16S ribosomal RNA". It matches the Rfam family "Archaeal small subunit ribosomal RNA", at positions 477 to 747 of the family's 1478-position model. The record is from RNAcentral.
CUGCAGCCCGAGUGGUGAUCGAUUUUACUGAGCCUAAAGCGUCCGUAGCCGGACUAGUAAACCCUUGGGUAAAUUGGGCAGCUUAACUGUCCAAAUUCCGAGGGGACUGCUAGUCUUGGGACCGGGAGAGGUCAGAGGUACUCAAGGGGUAGGGGCUAAAUCCUGUAAUCCUUUGGGGACCACCAGUGGCGAAGGCGUCUGACUAGAACGGAUCCGACGGUAAGGGACGAAACCCUGGGGCGCGAACCGGAUUAGAUACCCGAGUAGUCC